GACGAACGCUGGCGGCGUGCUUAACACAUGCAAGUCGAACGCUGAAGCUCAGCUUUUGUUGGGUGGAUGAGUGGCGAACGGGUGAGUAACACGUGAGUAACCUGCCCCCUUCUUUGGGAUAACGCCCGGAAACGGGUGCUAAUACUGGAUAUUCACUGGUCUUCGCAUGGGGGUUGGUGGAAAGGGUUUUUCUGGUGGGGGAUGGGCUCGCGGCCUAUCAGCUUGUUGGUGGGGUGAUGGCCUACCAAGGCUUUGACGGGUAGCCGGCCUGAGAGGGUGACCGGUCACAUUGGGACUGAGAUACGGCCCAGACUCCUACGGGAGGCAGCAGGGGGGAAUAUUGCACAAUGGGCGCAAGCCUGAUGCAGCGACGCCGCGUGAGGGAUGGAGGCCUUCGGGUUGUGAACCUCUUUCGCUCAUGGUCAAGCCGCAACAAUGGUUGUGGUGAGGGUAGUGGGUAAAGAAGCGCCGGCUAACUACGUG
RNAcentral lists this ribosomal RNA (483 nucleotides) under uncultured bacterium. RNAcentral describes it as "partial 16S ribosomal RNA". It matches the Rfam family "Bacterial small subunit ribosomal RNA", at positions 28 to 507 of the family's 1533-position model. The record is from RNAcentral.